RNAcentral lists this long non-coding RNA (2931 nucleotides) under Mytilus galloprovincialis (Mediterranean mussel). The record is from RNAcentral. Lineage: Eukaryota; Metazoa; Mollusca; Bivalvia; Mytilida; Mytilidae.
CCAAAACAUUGUACCGGAAGGUAGGAUUUUAUAGUUUGUACAAUACAAGUUUUUAUGAGUCUUCUUUUGAAGUUUGAGUCCUAAAUAAUACUAAACUAUUCGCAUUCAUUUUGUCUUAAUUAUUCGCAAUUUGUACAUCUAAGUUUUUGCAUGGAAUCUUUAUACUUUGGUCUGGAACUAAUAACUGAACUCCUGUUUUGUAUAUUUUUUAUCAAUACUUCUAGCUCAUCUUGAAAAUUUAACUUGGGUUGAUUUUCUUGAAAUACAUUUUGAGUAUAUAAUUUUUAGUAUUAUGUACAGUGCAACAUUAUCAUGAUUAUGAACAAUAUGUUGUGUGCUCUGAUAAAAUGUCAAGUUUCACGUUUGUGUAUGUGUGUGUAUUUAUAUAUUUUGAGACACCUCGAAUUAAUAUGACCUUUUCAGUUCAUUGAGAAAUUCUUUAAUUUUUAAAGAAUAUAAGGUUACAUUGAUUUGCGUCAUAACUGAUUUACUCUUUUUAAUUUACAGAGUUUAACAUCUCAAAAAUCUCAAUAUGUUUAUUUGAAUCAAUGAACCAAAUUCCUUUAUAAUAAAAUGGGUAAACCUUAAAUAAAUCCAAAGAUAGAGAUAAUGUCAAUUUAUUUUGUCCAACAAUGAAACUUUAGUCAAGAAAUAUUAAUUCAUUUAGUCAAAUAUCAACAAUGUACAAAUGUAGAUAAAGCUAAUAUAGGAAGCAUAAAAUGCACUUCUACAUCUAAGGAUAACACAUGAAAGCGUUACCACUUAUCUACGAAGAAGUCAUUGAGUUUAUGCAUAAGCUACAGACUCGAGGACGUAGGCCCGGUGCGGUGUAUAAAAUUUGCAUCUUAUUGUUGUUAAUGCAUAAUUAUGAAUAUCUAUAAAACCUGCAUUAAUCGACCAUUUUCUACAUGAGGAAAUUCGUGUACCAAAUCAAGAAUAUGACAGUUGUUUUCCUUUCGUUUGAUGUAUUUGAGCCUUUAUUUCGCACUUUCCGGUUGAAUUUUCAUUUUAGUUCAUUAUUUUUGUUAUUUAAAUUGUUACAGUAAUUUAUCCAAAAAAAUGGUAAAGCAUGAUUUACAUUGCAGUAUAUUCAAUUACAAUUAAUUGUAUACCGUCGUAAAUCUACCUUUUAAGUUAUCGGAUGAAAAACAAAUCCUAUUUACAGUAUAAAUUAAAAUAUAAUUUAUAACAAUAUACAUAUAUAGUGAAUUCAAAGAUCAUAAAAGUAUAUUGAAUCUACCAAAAACAUUCACAAUGUUCACAAGAAAUUAUUUUGCAAGACAUUGGUCUUUACAUUUAUAAUGUUCAAGGGUGUAUAAAUACAGAUCAAAAUAUUCACUGGUGGAAAGCGGAUGGUCGUAACUAAAAGCUAAAAGCUACGACCAUCUGAAUAUGGGAGACAACUCUAGGGAUAAGAUUUUCUUUUCCGAUUUUCGUGCAGAAAAAGGUUCAUUUGAGUCAAACCGCUUGUCUCAUAUACACAUAUCGUGAGUGCGUUGUUAUUGAAACCAAAUUUGACACAUUAAAUCAUUCAAAUUUUCGUAAAACAGUCAUUCAAAAAUUCGAGCAUGAUGGUUGUAACUUUAACUUGUGAUGGUCGUAAUGUCAACUAUAGUAUUUUGGAUGAUGGUCGUAACCGACACAAGAUGGUCGUAACUUUGAAAGAUGACCUUUUAUCAAACUAUUUAAAAAGUACUGUGCACAUGCAUAACCAUGUUAAUAAACUCAGUUGUUAUAAAAAGUUUACUACAAAAAAUAUUAUUUCAUUUGUUACUCUGAUAAUGGUAUGCAGAAAUUAAGUUAAAGAAUUAUCAAACAUACAUUUUUGAUAUGUUCCAAACGACCAUCAUUUAGGAGAAACAGUGAAAACUAAUCAACUCGCAUUAAGCCACAUAGUAUGUUAGGGUUGAUGAUUAAUAUAUUGUUUACUGUACGUUAAAGGCAUCAAAUUGUUGAAUAUUAGUUUUCAGAUUUUUUUUGGAUUUACGACUUUUUAUUACCUGCAAUCAUGUCGGCAGAUGAAAUUAUUGAACGUACAAUUUUGAACAAUCUUCUUUAAUUUUUAAUCAGCUAUUGCAGUUUUUAUAAACCAUUGGCUUUCAAAUAUUCGGCUUUUGGUGAAUCAUGAUUAAUGAAAAUCCACAAAUGCCCAGGGUGUUUUUAACGUAUUGUCUUUAUUUUUUAUCGAUUGCAUGACGAUCUUGCGGUAUAUCAUUGAUAUUUGUUCUAAGUAUUGGUUCAGAAUUAAAACUUAAUCCAUAGUGUCGCAAUGAACAUUGUGUUAACCUAGAAAGUAUGAAUAAGGUUGAUAUAUAUUUUACAAUGCUACACGCGUUGAAUUUAAGAGUAAGAUCAAAUAUUAGUAGUUUGUAGACAGGCUUGUAGCCAGGAUAAUAUUACAAGGUAGAACUAAAUGACUGCGGCAAAUAUUACAUACAUAUGCAGGUAUAUAUUUUACAAUGCUACACGCUUUGAAUUUAAGAGUAAGAUCAAAUAUUAGUAGUUAAUAGCCAGUCUUGUAGCUAGGGUAAUAUUACAAGGUAGUCAGAACUAAAUGUACUACGGCAACUAUCACAUACAUAUUGUUAUGAUAUUGUAAUUAUUAUGUUUAUUUAUGUUGGCCUAAUUUGUGUUGUAUGGCCUGAUAGUUGUUUACCAAAUAAUCUUAUAACUGUGCAGUUUAGGAAUGAUUGGAACUUCUAGAAUGAUCCUUAUAAAGAUGCGUAAUUUAAACUUCUACGUAUUCAGAAACUUCCGUUGUAACUUUCCAGGAUUUUCCACAAUGUUCCAUUAUAGAGUGUUCUAGAAUUUUCCAUGACAACACUAUAUAUACAGACACUAAAGUUAAACUCUCAUAAUUAAACUUGGACUUAGACAUUGAUAGACAUUAGUAUUCACGGCAUUUGGAUUGACACUUUUAUUCUACAAACA